Molecule: non-coding RNA, 73 nt
Organism: Podarcis lilfordi (Lilford's wall lizard)
Lineage: Eukaryota; Metazoa; Chordata; Lepidosauria; Squamata; Lacertidae
Source: the annotation of a GenBank genome assembly
UGCCAGCUGGGAUAGCUCAGUUGGUAGAGCAUGAGACUCUCAAGGUUGUGGGUUCAAGUCCCAUGCUGGACAA